RNAcentral lists this ribosomal RNA (497 nucleotides) under uncultured bacterium. RNAcentral's name for it is "partial 16S ribosomal RNA". It matches the Rfam family "Bacterial small subunit ribosomal RNA", at positions 28 to 507 of the family's 1533-position model. The record is from RNAcentral.
GAUGAACGCUGGCGGCGUGCCUAAUACAUGCAAGUCGAGCGAACAGACGAGGAGCUUGCUCCUCUGACGUUAGCGGCGGACGGGUGAGUAACACGUGGAUAACCUACCUAUAAGACUGGGAUAACUUCGGGAAACCGGAGCUAAUACCGGAUAAUAUAUUGAACCGCAUGGUUCAAUAGUGAAAGACGGUUUUGCUGUCACUUAUAGAUGAAUCCGCGCCGCAUUAGCUAGUUGGUAAGGUAACGGCUUACCAAGGCAACGAUGCGUAGCCGACCUGAGAGGGUGAUCGGCCACACGGGAACUGAGACACGGUCCAGACGCCUACGGGAGGGAGCAGUAGGGAAUCUUACGCAAUGGGCGAAAGCUUGACGGAGCAACGCCGCGUGAGUGAUGAAGGUCUUCGGAUCGUAAAACUCUGUUAUUAGGGAAGAACAAAUGUGUAAGUAACUAUGCACGGCUUGACGGUACCUAAUCAGAAAGCCACGGCUAACUACGUG